Molecule: ribosomal RNA, 406 nt
Filed under: uncultured bacterium
Lineage: Bacteria
Description: partial 16S ribosomal RNA
Rfam family: Bacterial small subunit ribosomal RNA
Source: RNAcentral
AUUGAACGCUGGCGGCAGGCUUAACACAUGCAAGUCUACCGAGUGGCGGACGGGUGAGUAAUGCUUGGGAAUCUACCUGAUGGAUGGGGAUAACUACGGGACACUGUAGCUAAUACCGCGUACCCUAGUAUGAGCCCAAGUGGGCUUAGGUAGUUGGUGAGGUAAAGGCUCACCCAGCCGACGAUCCCUAGCUGGUCUGUGAGGAUUAACAGCCACAAGGGGACGUAGAAACGGACCAGACUCCUACGGGAGGCAGCAGGGGGGAAUAUUGCACAAUGGGCGCAAGCCUGAUGCAGCCAUGCCGCGUGUAUGAAGAAGGCCUUCGGGUUGUAAAGUACUUUCAGCGAGGAGGCGUUACUCGCAGAAGAAGCACCGGCUAACUCCGUGCCAGCAGCCGCGGUAAUAC